CGCGUAGGCGGCUUGGUCAGUCGGAUGUGAAAGCCCCGGGCUUAACCUGGGAAUUGCAUUCGAUACUGCCAGGCUAGAAUGUAGUAGAGGGAAGUGGAAUUCCGGGUGUAGCGGUGAAAUGCGUAGAUAUCCGGAGGAACAUCAGUGGCGAAGGCGACUUCCUGGACUAACAUUGACGCUGAGGUGCGAGAGCGUGGGGAGCAAACA
RNAcentral lists this ribosomal RNA (207 nucleotides) under uncultured bacterium. Its description in RNAcentral is "partial 16S ribosomal RNA". It matches the Rfam family "Bacterial small subunit ribosomal RNA", at positions 568 to 774 of the family's 1533-position model. The record is from RNAcentral.